RNAcentral lists this ribosomal RNA (450 nucleotides) under uncultured bacterium. RNAcentral describes it as "bacterial SSU rRNA". It matches the Rfam family "Bacterial small subunit ribosomal RNA", at positions 328 to 798 of the family's 1533-position model. The record is from RNAcentral.
UUUCCAGACUCCUACGGGAGGCAGCAGUGGGGAAUAUUGCACAAUAGGGGAAACCCUGAUGCAGCGACGCCGCGUGAGCGAUGAAGUAUUUCGGUAUGUAAAUCUCUAUCAGCAGGGAAGAAAAUGACGGUACCUGACUAAGAAGCCCCGGCUAACUACGUGCCAGCAGCCGCGGUAAUACGUAGGGGGCAAGCGUUAUCCGGAUUUACUGGGUGUAAAGGGAGCGUAGACGGCUGUGCAAGCCAGAUGUGAAAGCCCGGGGCUCAACCCCGGGACUGCAUUUGGAACUGUGUGGCUGGAGUGUCGGAGAGGCAGGCGGAAUUCCUAGUGUAGCGGUGAAAUGCGUAGAUAUUAGGAGGAACACCAGUGGCGAAGGCGGCUUACUGGACUGUAACUGACGUUGAGGCUCGAAAGCGUGGGGAGCAAACAGGAUUAGAUACCCGAGUACAA